RNAcentral lists this transfer RNA (75 nucleotides) under Caudoviricetes sp. Its description in RNAcentral is "tRNA-Gln". It matches the Rfam family "tRNA". Rfam says of the family: Transfer RNA (tRNA) molecules are approximately 80 nucleotides in length. Their secondary structure includes four short double-helical elements and three loops (D, anti-codon, and T loops). Further hydrogen bonds mediate the characteristic L-shaped molecular structure. tRNAs have two regions of fundamental functional importance: the anti-codon, which is responsible for specific mRNA codon recognition, and the 3' end, to which the tRNAs corresponding amino acid is attached (by aminoacyl-tRNA synthetases). tRNAs cope with the degeneracy of the genetic code in two manners: having more than one tRNA (with a specific anti-codon) for a particular amino acid; and 'wobble' base-pairing, i.e. permitting non-standard base-pairing at the 3rd anti-codon position. Lineage: Duplodnaviria; Heunggongvirae; Uroviricota; Caudoviricetes. The record is from RNAcentral.
UGAGCUAUAGUAUAAUGGUUAGUACAGGGGAUUUUGAUUCCUCUAGUCCUGGUUCAACUCCAGGUAGCUCAACCA